UUUUUUUUUUUUUUUUAAAGACAGCAUCUCACUCUGUCACCAGGCUGGAGUGCAGUGGCAUGAUCUCAGCUCACUGCAACCUCCGCCUCCUGGGUUCAAGCAAUUCUCCCACCUCAGCCUCCCAAGUAGCUGGGAUUACAGGCACAUGCCACUACACCCAGCUAAUUUUUGUAUUUUUAGUAGAGAUGGGGUUUCUCUAUGUUGGCCAGGCUGGUCUUGAACUCUUGGCCUCAAGUGAUCCGCCUGCUUCAGCCUCCCAAAGUGCUGGGAUUAUAGACGUGAGCCACCGUGCCUGGCCUUAUAAUGUCAUUUUAUUAUCCUUUUAAUGUCUGUGGGAUCUGUUGUGGUAACUAUUCUUCACUCCAGUUAUUAGUGAUAUGUGUUCUUUAUCCCUUAAUCAAUCUAGCUAAGGGUUUGCUGGGUUUUUUGAUGCUUUCAAUGAAGUAUCUUUUUACUUUGUUUAUUGUUUUCAUUAUCUGUUUCUUUUCUCCUUUGUUAAUUUCUGCUCUUUGUUGUUUUUUUACUUUUAUGGAUUAUGAGCUUAUUUGCCCUUCUCUCUCCAGUUUUUGAAGGUGGAAGCUUAGGUUAAUGAUUUCAGAUCUUCCUCUGGAUGAGGUGUAAGCUUCCCUAUGAGCACCACCUUGGCUGCAUCCCAGAAAUUUUAAUAUGCAGUAUUGUAUUUUCCUUGUCAUUUAAUUCAAAAUAUGUUUUCAUUGUCCUCAUGAUUUUAUCCUUGAUCCUGAAUUGUUUAUAAGUUUGUGGUUUAAUUUCCUUUUAUAUGGUGUUAUGAAGAUUAUACAAAAGAAACUUGAACUCUCGUUGGCAUUUGAUUCAGUGCUAGAUAGUUUCAAGUCUUAGUUCCUGCCUGUGUUUAUUGCCUCCUGCAGUACCCUGAUAAAUCUCACUCACCCUCAGGUCCCAUAAGCACAUGUGCCCUCUUGCUGCCUCUUUGAAAUUUCAUGCUAGGUGGAACCUCUUUAAAUCUCAUGGUAGCAGGAGUUUUUUUUUUUUUAUAAACCGUUACACGUUUGCUAUUCACUCUGUCUGUAUUCUGGACUUUGUCUCAGAGAGAGCCAUCCUCUCCACCACUCACUUUGGGACUUCUACUCCUAUGUGAGUAAUUCAUAUUUAUUUGAUCAUACCACAGAAUAAAAUUGGAGUGUCUCUAUGCCAUGCAGAAUUGCUAUAAUAAGAGUUUUAUGAGUUCUAUUUUAAUGUCUUCGUGGUCACAGAAUACACUCUAUAUGAUUUCCAUCCUUUGACAUUUAUCAAAACUUGUUCUGUGGCCCAACAUACAGUUUGUAGUGGUGAAUGUACCAUGUGAACUUGAAAAAAAAAAGAGGCAUUCUGGAGUAAUUGGGAAUAUGUUCUACAAAGGUCAAUUAGGUCAAUUUGGUUAAUAGUGUUGUUCAAGUAUUUUAUAUCUUAACUAAUUUUCUGUCUAUAUGUUCUAUUAAUUCCUGAGAAAGGCUGAGAUCUCCAACUAUAAUUGUGAAUUUCUCUAAUUCUUUUAGUUCUAUUAGUAUUUGCUUAAUAUAUCUUGAAGCUCUGUUAUGAGGUGCAAAUACAUUCAGUUUUGCUGUGUCUAGAUGAACUGAUUAUUUUAUCAUUAUGAAAUGUCCUUUCAGCAGGAUGAAUUCUAGGAUGACCCACAAAAUGUCCUUCCUCUCGAGGGUACAUGAACUGAAUAAUCUCCAGGACUUUCAGUAUGAUGGAGUUUACUUCCAGGAUUAGGUUACGUUUUAUGGGCACUAGUGAUUUUAAGAUUGAGAUA
This 1774-nucleotide long non-coding RNA is filed under the name Macaca fascicularis (crab-eating macaque). RNAcentral describes it as "lncRNA (ENSMFAG00000051577.1)". The record is from RNAcentral. Lineage: Eukaryota; Metazoa; Chordata; Mammalia; Primates; Cercopithecidae.